GAAUGUAGGUACUUGCUAUUUAGGAAACUUAACGUCAUUAAAACCCAAACCUAUCUCGUCCUAAAAUAACAAUUCUCCAGGACCUUACCGGAAAUGAUCCGGAUAAGACUCCAGGUAUGCGAACAAAUGAUGAAUCUACCUGACAGAAAUGUCUGUUUUCUGACGAAUCAACGAAUUAUGUUAAAUGGUGAACUAAAUUUUGAAAAAUCGUCCCUAUUGUGCAGACAAAAACUCGCACUGGAUAAGGGAAGGAUACAGUCAACAUCCGGAAGCCAAUGUUUGGACAGGAAGUGUAAGCAGGAAAACGGAAUGGAACUGAAUAUUUUGAUCCGAAUGAAGCCGAUGUCCCGAAAGGAAAGAUUUGGAUUCAACAAAACCCUCCUUAUUAUGCAAGUCAUGCCAUUGAGUGUCUGGAUGGUAAAUUUUCAGGCAAAUUAAUUGGACACACACCGGAAAAUGUUGAGAAGUUACCAAGAACCAGUGACUAAUCAAAAAUGUUUAAAACCAGUUGAGGAAACAUUUGGUACUGAGUUACGUUAGAUUCAUUUUACUGAAAACAUUCCCAGUUAGAGACUUACACUGGUUAUGAACGAAAUAUGCAGAUUAUUUUAUUUCCUGCAUAACAAAGAAUAAGAAUGUGGUCAAAGUUGCACAAAUUUCACAAACCGUAACUGAUUGAAUUAGUGCAGUUGCAGAAAAAAUUAUAAUACAUGACCAGCAAAAAACCAUAUCAAAAAAUAAAUAAAUGAAUAAUA
Dendroctonus ponderosae (mountain pine beetle) is the source of this 755-nucleotide long non-coding RNA. RefSeq lists it as uncharacterized. NCBI's taxonomy places the organism in Eukaryota, Metazoa, Arthropoda, Insecta, Coleoptera, Curculionidae. The transcript has 2 exons. The record is from RefSeq and is a predicted model, not a curated record.